This 972-nucleotide ribosomal RNA is filed under the name Anisakis typica. Its description in RNAcentral is "bacterial SSU rRNA". It matches the Rfam family "Eukaryotic small subunit ribosomal RNA", at positions 120 to 1024 of the family's 1831-position model. Lineage: Eukaryota; Metazoa; Nematoda; Chromadorea; Rhabditida; Anisakidae. The record is from RNAcentral.
CCGGCCUUCCUCCCCGCGCGCCCGCCGAAAUUUUUUUUCACACUAUAUAUACUUGUAUGUUGAUAUCCUACGUGGAUAACUGUGGGUAAUUCUAGAGCUAAUACAUGCACCAAAGCUCCGAUUUUUUGACGAGCGCAUCUAUUAGAUUAAAACCAAUCGGGUUUCGGCCCGUCAAUUGGUGACUCUGAAUAACUAUGGCUGAUCGCAUGGUCUUGAACCGGCGACGUGUCUAUCAAGUGUCUGCCUUAUCAACUUUCGAUGGUAGUUUAUGUGCCUACCAUGGUUGUAACGGGUAACGGAGAAUAAGGGUUCGACUCCGGAGAGGGAGCCUGAGAAACGGCUACCACAUCCAAGGAAGGCAGCAGGCGCGCAAAUUACCCACUCUCGGCAUGAGGAGGUAGUGACGAAAAAUAACGAGACCGUUCUCUCUGAGGCCGGUUAUCGGAAUGGGUACAAUUUAAACCCGUUAACGAGGAUCUAUGAGAGGGCAAGUCUGGUGCCAGCAGCCGCGGUAAUUCCAGCUCUCAAAGUGUAUAUCGUCAUUGCUGCGGUUAAAAAGCUCGUAGUUGGAUCUGCGCCUCAGGACUUGGUCCGCCCACUGGGCGAGAACUGGGCUCCUGGGCUAGUACUGCUGGUUUUCCCUACGUUGCCUUCAUCGGUCGCGUAGGGUGGCUAGCGAGUUUACUUUGAAAAAAUUAGAGUGCUUAACGCGGGCUUAUGUCUGAAUACUCGUGCAUGGAAUAAUAGAAUAGGAUCUCGGUUCUAUUUUGUUGGUUUUCUGAUCUGAGAUAAUGGUUAAGAGGGACGGACGGGGGCAUUCGUAUCGCUGCGUGAGAGGUGAAAUUCUUGGACCGUAGCGAGACGUCCGACUGCGAAAGCAUUUGCCAAGAAUGUCUUCAUUAAUCAAGAACGAAAUUCGGAGGUCGAGAAAAUUUUUCCCCCCACACACACACAAAAGGGGGGGUGAAUAAG